RNAcentral lists this long non-coding RNA (333 nucleotides) under Gossypium barbadense (sea-island cotton). Its description in RNAcentral is "long non-coding RNA (GBAR_LNC010195)". Lineage: Eukaryota; Viridiplantae; Streptophyta; Magnoliopsida; Malvales; Malvaceae. The record is from RNAcentral.
CAAACCAUAAUGCCAUUACGUUUCUCACCGUGGGUCCUGAUCCAAUGACAGUGAGAGAAUAUACGGUAAAAGCGGAGCUAGCACCAAUCCUUAAAGCGGUUCUGUUGAAACACGGGGACAUUGUUACCGACUGCUCAUUGAACUCAACGCAGUGCCGUUCGUCUCUCCUGGAGAUCGCCUGUGGGAUCAUCCAGAAACUACAAGCAGCGAAAUUGGAAGAUUUAACAGAACCUGAGCUCCGCUCCAUGCUUGCAAGUGUUUCAGAUUUGGAAUCGUUGAAGUUGCGAGUUAGUUGGCUCCGUAAGAGACUGGAUCAAAUUAUUGAGGCACUGC